Molecule: long non-coding RNA, 358 nt
Filed under: Rhinopithecus bieti (black snub-nosed monkey)
Lineage: Eukaryota; Metazoa; Chordata; Mammalia; Primates; Cercopithecidae
Description: lncRNA (ENSRBIG00000046172.1)
Source: RNAcentral
AAUCGUUAGAAGAAAUGGGAUGAAAAUGUUCAUUAAAGGUGAUGAGGAAAUUUGGAUGAGACGGAAAACCACCCUGAUAAGAAGGGACCGAAUCAAAAGCAUCAAAGGUAGGGCAGCCGCUCCCUGCAAGGUUGCAGCUGGAAGGAGCCUGUUCAGAAUGCAUUUAUGCUUUGUUUAUCGGAUGUCUCUCUAUACCUUCUGCCUGAUGAAAAAUGAUGGAGGUGAUGCAAUUGUGGGAAGCGGAGGAAAUGAAUUUAAGAUGAAUAUUUGGACAGUUCCGGUUCAGAAAAGAUGAUCGACAAAAGACCAAAAGGAUUCUGGCUACUUUGGAUUGUGUGAGUAUCUUAGGUUCUUGGCU